Molecule: ribosomal RNA, 481 nt
Filed under: uncultured bacterium
Lineage: Bacteria
Description: partial 16S ribosomal RNA
Rfam family: Bacterial small subunit ribosomal RNA
Source: RNAcentral
GACGAACGUUGGCGGCGUGCUUAAUACAUGCAAGUCAACUGAAGCAGUGGUAGCAAUAUCGCUGUGGAGGUGGCGCACGGGUGAGUAACACGUAGGUAAUCUGCCUUCAGGUCUGGCAUAACUCCGGGAAACCGGGGCUAAUAGCAGAUGAUGCAGCGGCUCGACAUCGAGACAGUUGUUAAAGCUAUGGCGCCUGAAGAUGAGCCUGCGUCUGAUUAGCUAGUUGACGGGGUAACGGCCCACCAAGGCAACGAUCAGUAGCUGGUCUGAGAGGAUGAUCAGCCACACUGGAACUGAGACACGGUCCAGACUCCUACGGGAGGCAGCAGUAAGGAAUAUUGCUCAAUGGGAGAAAUCCUGAAGCAGCAACGCCGCGUGAGGGACGAAGGGCUUUUGCUUGUAAACCUCUGUAGUGAGAGAAAAAAAUCCCAAUCUUUGGGACAUGAUGGUAUCUCAAAAGUAAGCCCCGGCUAACUACGUG